GGCGGCGUGCCUAACACAUGCAAGUCGAACGCGAAAGUCCCGCAAGGGAUGAGUAGAGUGGCAAACGGGUGAGUAACACGUGGGUGACCUGCCUUCGAGUGGGGGAUAACGUUCCGAAAGGGACGCUAAUACCGCAUGACAUCCUGCCUUUGAACAGGCGGAAAUUAAAGCCGGGGAUCGCAAGACCUGGCGCUUGAAGAGGGGCCCGCGCCUGAUUAGCUAGUUGGUGGGGUAACGGCUCACCAAGGCGACGAUCAGUAUCCGGCCUGAGAGGGCGGACGGACACACUGGGACUGAGACACGGCCCAGACUCCUACGGGAGGCAGCAGUGGGGAAUUGUUCGCAAUGGGCGCAAGCCUGACGACGCAACGCCGCGUGGAGGAUGAAGACCUUCGGGUCGUAAACUCCUUUCGAUCGAGACGAACGGCCCUGGGGUGAACAAUCCCGGGGAUUGACGGUACCGAGAGAAGAAGCCCCGGCUAACUCCG
Molecule: ribosomal RNA, 488 nt
Filed under: uncultured Acidobacteriota bacterium
Lineage: Bacteria; Pseudomonadati; Acidobacteriota
Description: bacterial SSU rRNA
Rfam family: Bacterial small subunit ribosomal RNA
Source: RNAcentral